This 667-nucleotide long non-coding RNA is filed under the name Dicentrarchus labrax (European seabass). RNAcentral describes it as "lncRNA (ENSDLAG00005027986.1)". The record is from RNAcentral. Lineage: Eukaryota; Metazoa; Chordata; Actinopteri; Moronidae.
AUAAGAGUUUUCCGCUUUUACAAACCACCAAAACACCUUAGACAUUUCAUAUGACUUUUGACCUGUGAUCAUCAUUCACUGAUUAUUUUUCUUCCCUUUAUAGCUGGAGCACUUGUGUGUCAAACUUGCAAAAAUCAGGAGUGUUCAAGCACGGCACCACUAACGUGUUCCUCAGAGACAAUGUGUAUAACAGCUUCCAUUCAAGGUAGGUAUUUCUUUAUGUCAUCUAUUAACUUUCAGUGAAAUACAUGUACUGUAAAGUUAUGUGUUCUUGCCGUCAACAUUAACAAAUUGCACUUAAAUUUUGUAGCUACUUCAGCUGGAACCCCAGGCCAGCAAAUCUUCAAGGCUUGUGCAUCGUCCUCCCUGUGUCCAGCCGCAGGCUCUCAGACAUUUUCAGCCAACUUGGGAGCUGCGAGUGCACUUGCAUCUGUGACAUGCUGCAACACAGAUAACUGCAACUCACCUACUCUACCAUUCCCUGCUACUCCAGCAGAUAACAGCCUACAGUGUUUCUCUUGUGACCCCGUCACCUCUCAAUGCACCAACCUAUUACAAUGUAAGGGAUCGGACCGCUGCUUUCAAGCGACUGGUGAGUCUUAAUUUUUUAUUUUAAAGUUUGACUUUGUAUAUGUUUUACUUCAAAGUAUUUCAAAUACAGUACUAU